GAUGAAGAACGCAGCGAAAUGCGAUAAGUAGUGUGAAUUGCAGAAUUCAGUGAAUCAUCGAAUCUUUGAACGCACAUUGCGCCCCUUGGUAUUCCAUGGGGCAUGCCUGUUCGAGCGUCAUUUGAACCCUCAAGCUAUGCUUGGUGUUGGGUGUUUGUCCUCUCCUUUUGCGAUUGGACUCGCCUUAAAGACAUUGGCAGCCAGUGUAUUGGUCUUGAAGCGCAGCACAUUUUGCGAUUCUUGCUGAUAAUCACUAGCGUCCAGUAAGCCUAUUUUAACACUUUUGACCUCGGAUCAGGUAGGGAUACCCGCUGAACUUAAGCAUAUCAAUAAGCGGAGGA
Molecule: unclassified non-coding RNA, 341 nt
Filed under: soil metagenome
Description: partial contains 5.8S ribosomal RNA, internal transcribed spacer 2, and large subunit ribosomal RNA
Rfam family: 5.8S ribosomal RNA (bases 1-120)
Source: RNAcentral